ACGUAGGGGGCAAGCGUUGUCCGGAUUUACUGGGUGUAAAGGGUGCGCAGGAGGGCUUUUAAGUUAGUGGGGAAAUACCCGGGCUUAACUUGGGGGGUGCAUUUAAUACUGGAAGGCUAGAGUGCAGGAGAGGGAAGCGGAAUUUCUAGUGUAGCAGUGAAAUGCGUAGAUAUUAGAAUGAACACCAGUGGCGAAGGCGGCUUUCUGGACUGUAACUGACACUGAGGCACGAAAGUGUGGGGAGCAAACAG
RNAcentral lists this ribosomal RNA (251 nucleotides) under uncultured prokaryote. RNAcentral describes it as "partial 16S rRNA". It matches the Rfam family "Bacterial small subunit ribosomal RNA", at positions 525 to 775 of the family's 1533-position model. The record is from RNAcentral.